This 443-nucleotide ribosomal RNA is filed under the name uncultured bacterium. RNAcentral's name for it is "bacterial SSU rRNA". It matches the Rfam family "Bacterial small subunit ribosomal RNA", at positions 342 to 797 of the family's 1533-position model. The record is from RNAcentral.
UUGGAGGCAGCAGUGGGGAAUAUUGGACAAUGGGCGAAAGCCUGAUCCAGCAACGCCGCGUGAGGGAUGACGGCCUUCGGGUUGUAAACCUCUUUCAGUGGGGACGAAGCGCAAGUGACGGUACCCACAGAAGAAGCACCGGCCAACUACGUGCCAGCAGCCGCGGUAAUACGUAGGGUGCGAGCGUUGUCCGGAAUUAUUGGGCGUAAAGGGCUCGUAGGCGGUCUGUCGCGUCGGGAGUGAAAACACGGGGCUUAACCCCGUGCCUGCUUCCGAUACGGGCAGACUAGAGGUAUGCAGGGGAGAACGGAAUUCCUGGUGUAGCGGUGAAAUGCGCAGAUAUCAGGAGGAACACCGGUGGCGAAGGCGGUUCUCUGGGCAUUACCUGACGCUGAGGAGCGAAAGUGUGGGGAGCGAACAGGAUUAGAUACCCGGGUAGUCCG